RNAcentral lists this ribosomal RNA (1049 nucleotides) under Vibrio sp. PKP7. RNAcentral describes it as "bacterial SSU rRNA". It matches the Rfam family "Bacterial small subunit ribosomal RNA", at positions 424 to 1465 of the family's 1533-position model. Lineage: Bacteria; Pseudomonadati; Pseudomonadota; Gammaproteobacteria; Vibrionales; Vibrionaceae. The record is from RNAcentral.
UGUAAAGUACUUUCAGCAGUGAGGAAGGAGGAUGCGCUAAUAGCGUAUUCGUCUGACGUUACAUGCAGAAGAUGCACCGGCUAACUGAGUGCCAGCAGCCGCGGUAAUACGGAGGGUGCGAGCGUUAAUCCGAAUUGCUGGGCGUAAAGCGCAUGCAGGUGGUAUGUUAAGUCAGAUGUGAUAGCCGGCGGCUCUACCUCGGCAUAGCAUUUGAAACUGGCACACUAGAGUACUGUAGAGGGGGGUAGAAUUUCAGGUGUAGCGGUGAAAUGCGUAGAGAUCUGAAGGGAUACCAGUGGCGAAGGCGUCCCCACGGAUAGAUACUGACACUCAGAUGCGAUAGCGUGGGGAGCCAACAGGAUUAGAUACCCUGUUAGUCCACGCCGUAAUUGAUGUCUACUUGGAGGUUGUGGCCUUGAGCCGUGGCUUUCGGAGCUAACGCGUUAAGUAGACCGCCUGGGGAGUACGGUCGCAAGAUUACAUCUCAAAUGAAUCGACGGGGGCCCGCACAAGCGGUGGAGCAUGUGGUUUAAUUCGAUGCAACGCGAAGAACCUUACCUACUCUUGACAUCCAGAGAACUUUCCAGAGAUGGAUUGGUGCCUUCGGGAACUCUGAGACAGGUGCUGCAUCGCUGUCGUCAGCUCGUGUUGUGAAAUGUUGGGUUAAGUCCCGCAACGAGCGCAACCCUUAUCCUUGUUUGCCAGCGAGUAAUGUCGGGAACUCCAGGGAGACUGCCGGUGAUAAACCGGAGGAAGGUGGGGACGACGUCAAGUCAUCAUGGCCCUUACGAGUAGGGCUACACACGUGCUACAAUGGCGCAUACAGAGGGCGGCCAACUUGCGAAAGUGAGCGAAUCCCAAAAAGUGCGUCGUAGUCCGGAUCGGAGUCUGCAACUCGACUCCAUGAAGUCGGAAUCGCUAGUAAUCGUGGAUCAGAAUGCCACGGUGAAUACGUUCCCGGCCCUUGUACACACCGCCCGUCACACCAUGGGAGUGGGCUGCAAAAGAAGUAGGUAGUUUAACCUUCGGGGGGACGCUUACCACUUUGU